AUUGAACGCUGGCGGCAUGCCUUACACAUGCAAGUCGAACGGCAGCACGGGUGCUUGCACCUGGUGGCGAGUGGCGAACGGGUGAGUAAUACAUCGGAACGUACCUUAUCGUGGGGGAUAACGCAGCGAAAGCUGUGCUAAUACCGCAUACGCCCUGAGGGGGAAAGCGGGGGAUCGCAAGACCUCGCGCGAUUAGAGCGGCCGAUGCCUGAUUAGCUUGUUGGUGGGGUAAAAGCCCACCAAGGCGACGAUCAGUAGCUGGUCUGAGAGGACGAUAGGCCACACUGGGACUGAAACACGGCCCAGACUCCUACGGGAGGCAGCAGUGGGGAAUUUUGGACAAUGGGGGCAACCCUGAUCCAGCAAUGCCGCGUGAGUGAAGAAGGCCUUCGGGUUGUAAAGCUCUUUUGUCAGGGAAGAAACACCGGCUCUAACACAGUCUGGGAAUGACGGUACCUGAAGAAUAAGCACCGGCUAACUACGUGCCAGCCGCCGCCGUAA
RNAcentral lists this ribosomal RNA (501 nucleotides) under uncultured bacterium. RNAcentral's name for it is "partial 16S ribosomal RNA". It matches the Rfam family "Bacterial small subunit ribosomal RNA", at positions 30 to 523 of the family's 1533-position model. The record is from RNAcentral.